GCGAGAUGCGACACCGCGGGGCCAGCGCCCCCAGCCGGUGAGCCCAGGACGCGGGCCGCGAUGCCGCAGCCGCUCGGGGCGGGGCAAAGGGCCUGUGGACUCUGGCGUUGGGGCAGGGAAAGCCGGUAGCUCCCGGCGACCGCCCGCGGGGGCAGAUGCUACAGGAAGAGCCUGAAUGACGCGGGUCCAGCCCAGGCGACUGCAGGCCGCGCGAGGAACCUGCAGGGUUGGAACCCCCAGGGAUGAAGGCAGCUCCUCCCGGUUUUCCCCUUCAAAGCCUCUGCCUCUUCUCUCCCAUUUGCAACCCGGGAACCUGCAGAGCAGCCCUGACCACACGGAAGUCAGACUCGGUGCUGAGAAUGAGUCCAAUGGAAGACUCUCUAGGCCGUGUGGCAAGUUUGCUGUGGCUGCUUUUUCUAAUUACUGAGCAAGUACAGAGAUGUCACCAAAGCCCCUCGAUACGACUGUAACAACUCAGCCCCAGCAAGCAACCUGACCCCAGAGAAAUGUAUCUUGACUACAAAGAGGACACAAAGUCCCUUUGAUACUAAAAGUUAUGUGAGGACACAUAAAGACCUGGGACCUCUAGGCGACGGAGGAGAAGCCAUCAACUGGUCCGCGCAGAGCUGAGGCCGCAGAAAGGAUAUUUGCAAAGAGAAGAAAAGGUGUGUCCCCAGAAUGUGAGACCGGACACACUCACAGCCUCAGCUCGCCUGCCUCACGCACGACCUUAAUUCUCUGAGGUGCUUCUCCUCGUGGUUAAAUUUGGUCUUAUUUGCUACCUCCCCACUGUCUGCUGUGUCUGUUUGUCUAUUAUUACUAUAAUAGGGAUGGGACAAGGAGGGAUCCACAACAUUGCCUUUAACCACAAGACAUAGAUAUGUUUCCAAAAAGUCACCUUACUUCCUGAAAUUUAGAAUUAGAGAAGUACCUGCAACGUAGAGAAAUAAUCAUAUUCUUUUAUUUGUUCAGAAAUAGGGGUGUCACCUGGAUGAUGCUGUGUGCUAGACUCAAAGGCCAAUGAUACGUUUCCUACCCUCAGGUUGUUUGAGCCUUGAUGAGGUGAUAAUGAAAUAAAGAGGAGUCCAGGGCAGCCCGGGGGGUGGGG
Molecule: long non-coding RNA, 1108 nt
Filed under: Vulpes vulpes (red fox)
Lineage: Eukaryota; Metazoa; Chordata; Mammalia; Carnivora; Canidae
Description: lncRNA (ENSVVUG00000019292.1)
Source: RNAcentral